This 472-nucleotide ribosomal RNA is filed under the name Pantoea sp. LL62. RNAcentral's name for it is "partial 16S ribosomal RNA". It matches the Rfam family "Bacterial small subunit ribosomal RNA", at positions 202 to 661 of the family's 1533-position model. The record is from RNAcentral. Lineage: Bacteria; Pseudomonadati; Pseudomonadota; Gammaproteobacteria; Enterobacterales; Erwiniaceae.
GGGGGACCUUCUCGCCUCUCUCUAUCGGAUGAGCCCCCAUGGGAUUAUCUAUUAUGCGGGGUAAUGGGCCCCCUAUGCGACAAUCCCCAUCUGGGCUGAGAGGAUGACCCCCCCCACUGUAACUGAGACACGGUCCCCACACCCACAGGAGGCGCCACUGGGGAAUAUUGUGCAAUGUGCGCACACCUGAUGCGCCCCUGCCCCGUGUAUAAAAAAAGCCUUCUGGUUGUAAAGUACUUUUUCCGCGGAGAAAAGCGACAGGGUUAAUAUCCCCGUCUAUUGUGGUUUCCCCCACAAAAAACACCGGCUAACUCUCUGCCCCCACCCGCGGUAUUACAGAGGGUGUGAGCGUUAAUCUCAAUUAUUGGGCGUAUAACGCACACACGCGGUCUGUUAUAUCUCAUAUGAAAACCCCGGGCUUAAACUGUGAACUGCGUUUGAAACAGUGACGCUUGAGUCUCGUGUAGGGGGG